GGGAGAUUUAACAACAAAGAGCCCAACAGACUCUGGUAGAUCUUAUCUCUAUGAGGCCUCCGGAGUCUGGAGACAGGGCUAAGGUGUAAACAGAAUAGUCUUUAGUAUGCACAGCUAAUGUGGUCACUUCUGGGACAGUUAAGCAACCCUUUGUUUGUUAUCUAUGUUGUUGUGAAGAACCUAAGGACAAUUAACCGUGAGUGGAUUUACUGCUUACGAGUGAAGGAUAUAUAAGGUGUGUGUAAAACACAAUAAAAAAAACUUGCUAUUCUGAGGACUUGCUAUUCUGAUGCCACACUGACUGAGGGAAUUCUGUAAUGGGACCAAGCGCCGACAAUUGGCGCCCGAAUGGGGACCUGAACGAACAGGAACUCCAAAGAACAGGGACUUGAAUGAACAGGGACUUGAACGAACAGGGACUCGAAAGAUGACCAUGGCUGAAGCUGAGUACCAGACAAGCAUCCAGGAGAAGCUGCCACUCAUAAUUGGCUCCUCUGGAGCAGGACUGGUGUUUCUCAUUGCUGUUGUAGUCGUCAUUACUGUGGGCAACAGAAGAAGGGGCUUGGAGAAGCCUUGCAGAGAAUACGCUGAAAGAAGCGUGGCAGGCUCGGGGAAGCCUUGUGGAAUGCACGCCGAAGGGAGUGUGGCAGGCUCGGGGAAGCCUUGUGGAAAAUACGCUGAAAGAAGCGUGGCAGGCUCAGGGAAGCCUUGUGGAAUGCACACCGAGGGGAGCGUGGCAGGCUCGGAGCAGCCUUGUGGAAUGCACACCGAAAGGAGCGUGGGAGUCCCGGAGAAGCCUUGUGGAAAGUAUGCUGAAGGAAGCGUAAAAGGCUUAAAAAAGAAGCCGUAUCGAGAGGGGGCUGAAAGAAGCCUCAUCGUCCCCAGCCGCUCCGACUGCUUCUUGCUAGACGAAGGUAAGCGCUUGUGCACCAUGGGGAACAAAAUGACCUCGGAACAGGAACAUGUCUUUGCUACUUUUCAAUUUAUCCUUAAACAACGGGGGAAGGCAGUGUCCUCUGCUGACCUGCAACAGAUCCUCAUAUGGGCCGCUAAAAACAAUCCCUCAUUUAUAAAUCAGACAAUUUAUGAUCUGAAAACUUGGGAUGGGAUCGGGGUGAAACUGUGGGAUGCAUCCACUAAAGGUGAUAAGGUGGCAUCUGGGUUACUUGAAACCUGGAGAAAAAUUUUUGAAGCUUUAAAAAGUCAUGCGGGUUCAUCGUUUGCGACCCCCGGUCCAUUCGAGGAUGAAGGAGCCACAGGCCCCUCAUCUGGCUCACCCGCUGUGCCAUCAGCUCCUCCGUUGUCACCACCACGGAGGGUCCUUGUCGCCUCCCCUCCUGAGGGUCCUGACAAUCCUUUUGAGGGUCCUGACAAUCCUU
This 1379-nucleotide long non-coding RNA is filed under the name Numida meleagris (helmeted guineafowl). Its description in RNAcentral is "lncRNA (ENSNMEG00000005759.1)". Lineage: Eukaryota; Metazoa; Chordata; Aves; Galliformes; Numididae. The record is from RNAcentral.